Molecule: ribosomal RNA, 500 nt
Filed under: uncultured bacterium
Lineage: Bacteria
Description: partial 16S ribosomal RNA
Rfam family: Bacterial small subunit ribosomal RNA
Source: RNAcentral
AUUGAACGCUGGCGGCAGGCCUAACACAUGCAAGUCGAGCGGAUGAGAGGAGCUUGCUCCUCGAUUCAGCGGCGGACGGGUGAGUAAUGCCUAGGAAUCUGCCUAGUAGUGGGGGACAACGUUUCGAAAGGAACGCUAAUACCGCAUACGUCCUACGGGAGAAAGUGGGGGAUCUUCGGACCUCACGCUAGUAGAUGAGCCUAGGUCGGAUUAGCUAGUUGGUAGGGUAACGGCCUACCAAGGCGACGAUCCGUAACUGGUCUGAGAGGAUGAUCAGUCACACUGGAACUGAGACACGGUCCAGACUCCUACGGGAGGCAGCAGUGGGGAAUAUUGGACAAUGGGCGAAAGCCUGAUCCAGCCAUGCCGCGUGUGUGAAGAAGGCCCUCGGGUCGUAAAGCACUUUAAGUUGGGAGGAAGGGCUUACAGCGAAUACCUGUGAGUUUUGACGUUACCGACAGAAUAAGCACCGGCUAACUUCGUGCCAGCAGCCGCCGUAA